CUUGGCCUCGCCUGGUGUGGGCUGUAAUUAGGUCAGUGUAAGUUAAAGUAGGGCUGAGAGAUGAAUAAAGUAGAUUUUCUCCUCUGGAACACUCUGCAGUUUAAUUUCACUUCUUUCUACAAUGUGCGAUGAAGGUGGACUUAACUUUUAAAGGCAAAGAGACAAACCACUGCCAGGAUAAAUGAAAAGACGUAGAGGGGGCGGCUGGCACCAUACAGAAGAGGAAAUGCUUUCUGGCUGGUUCCUAAUUUUCAUAUCCGGGUCAUCGUCAGAAAUCAUUUUCAGAGGAAAGAUUAAGAUUCUCUUAGUGAUCUUGAAAGAACAAUUCUCAACUUUAUAUGGAGAAACAAAAGACCCAGGAUACCCAAAACAACCCUGUACAAUAGAGGAACUUUUGGAGGCAUCUCCAUCCCUGACUUCAAGCUUUAUUACAGAGCUGUACUCCUGAAAACAGCUUGGUAUUGGCACAAAAAAAGACAGGUAGACAAAUGGAAUAGAGUUGAAAAUCCUGAUAUUAACCCACGCACAUAAGAACACCUGAUUUUUGACAAACAAUCCAAAUAUAUACGCUGGAAGAAAGAGAACAUCUUCAACAAAUGGUGCUGACAUAACUGGAUGCAAACAUUUAGAAGACUACAGAUAGAUGCAAGCCUCUCAGCCUGCACAAAACUUAAGUCAAAAUGGAUCAAAGAUCUCAACAUAAAUCCAGCCACACUGAACCCACUAGAAGAUAAAGUGGGAAAUACUCUUGAAUUAAUCGAUACAGGAGACUGCUUCCUGUACAUAACACCAGUAGCACAGACACUGAGAUCAAAAAUUAAUAAAUGG
Molecule: long non-coding RNA, 828 nt
Filed under: Cricetulus griseus (Chinese hamster)
Lineage: Eukaryota; Metazoa; Chordata; Mammalia; Rodentia; Cricetidae
Description: lncRNA (ENSCGRG00000025388.1)
Source: RNAcentral